GACCCAGACUCCUACGGGAGGCAGCAGUGAGGAAUAUUGGUCAAUGGCCGCAGGGCUGAACCAGCCAAGUCGCGUGAGGGAUGACGGUCCUAUGGAUUGUAAACCUCUUUUGUCGGGGAGCAAAGAGAGUCACGUGUGGCUCAUUGAGAGUACCCGAAGAAAAAGCAUCGGCUAACUCCGUGCCAGCAGCCGCGGUAAUACGGAGGAUGCGAGCGUUAUCCGGAUUUAUUGGGUUUAAAGGGUGCGUAGGCGGUCCGUUAAGUCAGCGGUAAAAUUGCGGGGCUCAACCCCGUCGAGCCGUUGAAACUGGCAGACUUGAGUUGGCGAGAAGUACGCGGAAUGCGCGGUGUAGCGGUGAAAUGCAUAGAUAUCGCGCAGAACUCCGAUUGCGAAGGCAGCGUACCGGCGCCAGACUGACGCUGAGGCACGAAAGCGUGGGGAUCGAACAGGAUUAGAUACCCCCGUACU
RNAcentral lists this ribosomal RNA (468 nucleotides) under uncultured bacterium. Its description in RNAcentral is "bacterial SSU rRNA". It matches the Rfam family "Bacterial small subunit ribosomal RNA", at positions 328 to 794 of the family's 1533-position model. The record is from RNAcentral.